CAAUAUUACAGUGAUACUGGCAAUACAAAUGCUGGUAUUUUUCUCAGUAUAAACAAGAGAUUACUAUGCAAUACCAGCACUGGCCAGUAGGGGUCACUGUGUAUGGAGAGAGGCAGGGAUAGGAAGUUCCAGCAUAUCCCUCCCUGCCUAUCUAUACUCACUAAUCUGCAGGGGUGCAGCUACAGAGAGUCCAGACAGAAACUCCCACCCUGCAGAGGCAGC
Molecule: non-coding RNA, 222 nt
Organism: Pelobates cultripes (western spadefoot toad)
Lineage: Eukaryota; Metazoa; Chordata; Amphibia; Anura; Pelobatidae
Source: the annotation of a GenBank genome assembly